Molecule: long non-coding RNA, 1479 nt
Filed under: Phoenix dactylifera (date palm)
Lineage: Eukaryota; Viridiplantae; Streptophyta; Magnoliopsida; Arecales; Arecaceae
Description: long non-coding RNA (PDAC_LNC014067)
Source: RNAcentral
CUUCAUGUUGCCUCUGUAAUUCAUUGCUCAUAGAGGCAAGUAUGAUACAUUUGACAGUCACACUGUCAUUUUUCCACAUCUUAUGUGUGUCAACCUCCUCUUCUGUAGCAUCAUCCCCUAGAUCUCCAAGAUCGGGGGUUUCAAGUAUAUAGAAAAUUUUCUCCUGAGUGAGUACUAUCUUUAAAUUUCUCAACCAGUCCACAUAGUUUGGUCCGGUCAACUUGUUGGCAUCUAAGAUGCCUCUUAGUGAAAGUGAAGAAGCCAUUUAAUAAUUCUACAUAUGCAAAAACAAAACUAAUAUAAGCAGACCAAUCAUGAUGACAUGUUUGCAACUAGAUAAGGACUUUAAUCUAAUUUGUCUCCUACUAUUUUUAUCGAAUAUCAUAGCCCUCUCCUAUGAUAAAUAUGAAAAUAUAAUUUUUCUUAGUAGGGUUGAGAUCCUAAUUCAUCAUAAAAAGCCUUGUGUUUACACAACAAACUCUUAUGUGUUCAAAGGUAGGAAACUCUUUCCAAUUGCAUCUCAUGCAAUUCUCAACUUUACCUUGUCCUCUUAAAAUACUUAUUGCCUUGUGUUAGCACAACAAACAAUAAUAUUUUAGUUAAGUCAAACUCUUCAUUUUCAUAUAGUCAUAUUCGAAUAAUAUUGCCCUUGUGGUUGCACAACAAGGCAAUAUAUUAAAAUAUGCCAUAAGCAUCUUAAUGCACCAAGACAGUAUAACAUCAGUCCCCAUUGCAAAUCUUAUGUUAGCACAACAAACUAGCAUGGAUCUUGACAUAAUAAUAUCGAGGCAUGAAGGAAGGCUAUCAAUAGUGUUAUAUCAAUAUUAAGCUUAUCCAUAAUAGGCAAUCAAACAAUUGGCCAGGUAAGCAGGUGGGAGGCUCUCCUUACUUAGAGAGUAAGGUCCUAAUUAGAGAACCACCUUUAGUGCUUUCCUUAGACACCAAUUAGAUCAAUUGUUCUAAUAUGGGUUAGCCCAAAGUUUUUCAACACUAUGACUUAAUAUAAUUUUUAUUGAGGGCUUACUAGUCUCUAGCACAUUCUUUAAUUGUAACAUAUAUUUAACAUGUCUAAAAUAAACUAUUAUGCAUCAUGGCUAUCUCAUAGCAUGUAUAAAUCAUAAGCAAUUAAUUAACAUGCUUCAACAUAUUUUCAUAUGGAAAAUUUCAUAUCAUGAUAUUUUAUUACAUAACAUAUCAUAUAUGAAUCAUAAAUUUCAGCAUUUCUCUAAGCAUAUGAUAUUACUAUCUCAUAGUAAAUUAAUAAUCAUACAUCAUACAAAAUUAUUUGAUUGAACCAAUUAAGGAUGGCUCUGAUACCACUGAAGGGUUUUAGCAUGUUAUAAUGCGCAGCGGAAGCUAUGAAUUUUAAAAAUUUCUUAAUAAAGUCCCUAUGCAUGAAACCCUUUUAAGCCUAGAUCACCUUAAUGAUUAUAAUCAAAUGAUAUAAAAUAAAUGCAGAAUUAGUAGAAUACCUCAAAC